AGGCAUAUUAAGAAGGGUAUCGGGCCCUUGUUGUUGCACUUGCUGAAACUUCUGCAGAAACUUUUCCCUUUGAUCAGGAGCUAUUUCAGUUCUUCCACGAAGCUGCCCCGCAUCAUUCUGAUUCGGAAAGGGACUUCCAGUGUUGUUAUUUAAUGCAUGUAGCAACACAAAUCAUGAUUCACUCAGGGCAAAGCCAAUGCAUGCAGCAGGUUUGGUGUACAAUGUGUUAAUUGGUUUUGCAGGCUGCUGAUGCUUGGCGGCAGGACCAUGGUUUUGUAGGAAUUUGUUGACAGGAUAUUGUAACAGCAGACUGUAGGUUUCGGCUUAAUCAUAUCAAGCAAAAGAUAAAUAAGAGUGGCCCUUGUUACACUGAUGUCAAAAACCCUGUGCUGCAACUGGUGCUUUACGAGCAGCCCGACAAUAUCCAGCAUCAUCUUCCAUGCAUCUCCUUGUGCACUUCUUGCUAAUGACAGAAUAGGAUUUGCUUCCACAAUCGGCAUCAUCUGGCUGACUGCAGGACCCAACUGCUCAAAGUAAGGAAUCGCCUCUGCCGCUGGUCUGUUGUUGUAAGCGAUUACAGCAUUUUCCUUUCAUAAGUGAUACAUAUCUUUUCAUCACAUUCCUUGGGUAAUUUCUCAGAAAAUAAGCUUCCUGUGAGUACUUGAAGAAGUGCACCAUUGCUGGAUGCAUGGUGUAAUGUGGUUACCACUAAAUUCUACUUUUUCUACCAUACCGUCGAAAGGAUCGAUACGAGGCGUGAGUGUUUAUUCAAGAAUAUCUGUCUCGUCAAUUGGGUCGGAAUUGAAUUUCACCAAUAAUGUGUGUUUGACAUUGUAUGAAGUUUUAAAGCAAUCACGAUUUUCUGAUGGCGUCGGCUUGAACUCUGAGACUCCUUUGCAUCGGUAUACUCCAACCGAAUAGUCCGAAUUUUCCUAAGGUAGAAGAGAUAGCGACAAAAUUGUUGGUUUGAUCGGUACUUAGACGACUUUCAGUGAUAUCAAAGGCACUACCAAGCUUUUGCUUCCGCCGACAGAUACAUGGUUGAGGUUUGCCUUCUGACUUGAUGUGGUGCAGUAGGAGGCAAGAAACUUCAAAGUUUAAGGCAUGACCAAGUUGGCAUUAAAGUGAAGAAACCAAAUCCACAAAUUAAAAUCAAGGCCAACAUGGACAUGAAGCAUGGAACGAGGAUUAGGGUCAUGAUGGAAGACUUAGGAUUUUAGGAUGCAAAGAGGUUGCGUUGACUUUGGUCAAAGUUGACCAAAGUCAACAAUUGGUCAAAGUUCAUUUUUUGUAUCUUUCUUGUAAAUGGAAUUCAAUGGACAAUUAUGGGUGAAUUUUAGGGUUUGGGGAAUUUGGGUUGACUUUGGUCAAAGUUGACCAAAAAGUCAACUGUUGACCAAAGUCAACAAUUGGUCAAAAAUGUCAAAUUUGUAUUUUCUUAUGUAGAAUCAAAUGUAAUGGUUUAAAAUGACA
Lathyrus oleraceus (garden pea) is the source of this 1473-nucleotide long non-coding RNA. RefSeq lists it as uncharacterized. The transcript is spliced from 2 exons. NCBI's taxonomy places the organism in Eukaryota, Viridiplantae, Streptophyta, Magnoliopsida, Fabales, Fabaceae. The record is from RefSeq and is a predicted model, not a curated record.